UACGAAGGGGGCUAGCGUUGCUCGGAAUUACUGGGCGUAAAGCGCACGUAGGCGGCUUCUUAAGUCGGUGGUGAAAUCCUGGAGCUCAACUCCAGAACUGCCUUCGAUACUGGGAGCUCGAGUCCGGGAGAGGUGAGUGGAACUGCGAGUGUAGAGGUGAAAUUCGUAGAUAUUCGCAAGAACACCAGUGGCGAAGGCGGCUCACUGGCCCGGUACUGACGCUGAGGUGCGAAAGCGUGGGGAGCAAACAGGGAUUAAGAUA
Molecule: ribosomal RNA, 262 nt
Filed under: uncultured bacterium
Lineage: Bacteria
Description: partial 16S ribosomal RNA
Rfam family: Bacterial small subunit ribosomal RNA
Source: RNAcentral